This 107-nucleotide ribosomal RNA is filed under the name Priestia megaterium. Its description in RNAcentral is "partial 16S ribosomal RNA". It matches the Rfam family "Bacterial small subunit ribosomal RNA", at positions 1 to 102 of the family's 1533-position model. Lineage: Bacteria; Bacillati; Bacillota; Bacilli; Caryophanales; Bacillaceae. The record is from RNAcentral.
UCUUCGGAGAGUUUGAUCCUGGCUCAGGAUGAACGCUGGCGGCGUGCCUAAUACAUGCAAGUCGAGCGAACUGAUUAGAAGUUUGCUUCUAUGACGUUAGCGGCGGA